RNAcentral lists this ribosomal RNA (770 nucleotides) under uncultured delta proteobacterium. RNAcentral describes it as "bacterial SSU rRNA". It matches the Rfam family "Bacterial small subunit ribosomal RNA", at positions 113 to 898 of the family's 1533-position model. The record is from RNAcentral. Lineage: Bacteria; Deltaproteobacteria.
ACGCGUAAACAAUCUGCCCUUCAGUCUGGGACAACUUUUCGAAAGGAGAGCUAAUACCGGAUAACAAUGCAUGACACAAGUUGUAUAUUUGAAAGCUUUAUGUGCUGAAGGAGGGGUCUGCGUCCCAUUAGCUAGUUGGUAAGGUAAAGGCUUACCAAGGCAACGAUGGGUAGCGGGUUUGAGAGGACGAUCCGCCACACUGGAACUGAGACACGGUCCAGACUCCUACGGGAGGCAGCAGCGGGGAAUAUUGCACAAUGGAGGCAACUCUGAUGCAGCAAUGUCGCGUGAGUGAAGAAGGCCCUUGGGUCGUAAAGCUCUUUUAUGGGGGAAGAUGAUGACGGUACCCCAAGAAUAAGCACCGGCUAACUAUGUGCCAGCAGCCGCGGUAAUACAUAGGGUGCGAGCGUUGUUCGGAAUUACUGGGCGUAAAGGGCGCGCAGGCGGAAUAGUAAGUCGGAGGUGAAAGCCCGGGGCUCAACCCCGGAGGGUCUUUCGAAACUACUAAUCUAGAGAGGGUCAGGGGCCGGCAGAAUUCCUGGUGUAGAGGUGAAAUUCGUAGAUAUCAGGAGGAAUACCGGUGGCGAAGGCGGCCGGCUGGGGCCACUCUGACGCUGAGGCGCGAAAGCGUGGGGAGCAAACAGGAUUAGAUACCCUGGUAGUCCACGCCGUAAACGAUGAGCACUGGACGUUCGGGGGGUUCGACCCUUCUGGGUGUUUCAGCUAACGCAUUAAGUGCUCCGCCUGGGGAGUACGGUCGCAAGACUAAA